Molecule: ribosomal RNA, 497 nt
Filed under: uncultured bacterium
Lineage: Bacteria
Description: partial 16S ribosomal RNA
Rfam family: Bacterial small subunit ribosomal RNA
Source: RNAcentral
GAUGAACGCUGGCGGCGUGCCUAAUACAUGCAAGUCGAGCGAACAGACGAGGAGCUUGCUCUUCUGACGUUAGCGGCGGGCGGGUGAGUAACACGUGGAUAACCUACCUCUAAGACUUGGAUAACUUCGGGAAACCGGAGCUAAUACCGGAUAACAUGUUGAACCGCAUGGUUCAACAGUGAAAGACGGUCUUGCUGUCACUUCUAGAUGGAUCCGCGCCGCAUUAGCUAGUUGGUAAGGUAACGGCUUACCAAGGCAACGACGCGUAGCCGGCGUGAGAGGGUGAUCGGCCACACUGGAACUGCGACACGGUCCAGACUCCGACGGGAGGCAGCAGUAGGGAAUCGGCCGCAAUGGGCGAAAGCCUGACGGAGCAACGCCGCGUGAGUGAAGAAGGUCUGCGGAUCGUAAAGCUCUGUGAGUAGUGAAGAACAAAUGUGUAAGUAACUAUGCACGUCUUGACGGUACCUAAUCAGAAAGCCCCGGCUAACUACGUG